Molecule: long non-coding RNA, 2157 nt
Organism: Cyprinus carpio (common carp)
Lineage: Eukaryota; Metazoa; Chordata; Actinopteri; Cypriniformes; Cyprinidae
Exons: 3
Source: RefSeq, a predicted model, not a curated record
AUAUGUUAUCUAUAUUCUAUUGUGAAUAAAAUAUAAGUUUAUGAGAUUGUAAAUUAUUCCAUUCCUUUUUUUACUCACAAUUUGUACAGUGUCCAAACUUUUUUGGAAUUGGGUUUGUACAAGCCGGCUCUGGCUUCAGAGGAAACAUACAGUGGAGAUCAAAAUUAGAGAACAAUCUAUAAAUACUUGAUUUUUUUUUUUUUUUCUGAAAUAUUGUUCAUCUUCAUCGCUUAAAAGCCAUUACUGUAGAUGGAAAGUGAAUUUGGCCAGAUCAGCAUUUGCUGAGGCUUUACGGGUACAAUUAAGCAGUCUGCCGAUUCACAAUUUAACUUGAGCAAUAAGGCAUAGCCAAAGGUUCUGCUCCUCCAAGACUCUCAUCUGCAAAAGAUAGAGAGAUAGAAGAUAUUUAUGCCACUAAAGUUCAGUGAAGUUUGACAGCAAUAUUUAAAGGUCAUAAAAGUAUUUGAUAUACUGUACGUGUAGCACACUAAAUUGGACAUUUGAAUUUGAAAUAAAGGAGCCACAUUUAAAAACAAAAACAGCAAUAUCACUAACGAUCCCAAUCCAAUCUGAAUUAUUUAUGACUGACAUUAUAUUUCAUAUACAAUUUUGAAAGAAUGUAACAGUCUAGACAUAAUUCUUUAAGUAACUGGACAGUUGUGUUUGCCAGGACGUUAUCAUAAGAAAUAUGGUAGCAACAUUUAGGUUUUACGGACUGAGCUUAAAAUUUACCAUAAAAAUUUUUAGAUUUUAAGGGAUAGUUCCUAGGUGCACAGUAUAUGACUUUCUUCAUUCAGAUGAAUGCAAUCAGAGUUAUUUUUAAAAAUGUCCUGGCUCUUCCAAGCUUUAUUAUGACAGUGAAUGGGUGAUAUUCAAUAGUCCGAAGUCCAAUAAACUGUGCAAUUGCAUAAUAGAAAAAAAGUGCUCCACAUAGUUCCAGGGGAUUAAUAAAGGCCUCCUGAACCGAAUCGAUGCAUUUUUGUAAAAAAAAAAUACCCAUAUUUAAACCUUUAUAAACAGUAAUCUCUAGUUUCCGCUAACUGUCAUACGCGCGUUCACGAGAGAGAGACGUCCAGCGGAUGAUGUAGGUGUAGAGUAAGUUCCGGUGAGAAUGCCAAGUUUUGUUUACAGAAGCAAAGGAAGCAAAGUUUCCUUUGUUUAGCAAAGUCUCCUCUUGGCUUAUAUCAAAAUCCUCUGACAUUUUUCUUUACAAAUCCUUGUUUUAUCUGGAUGCCCGAGUAAAUGAGUAUGAAGGAACAAUGGUUUGAUUGGACACUGUCUCUGAGCUAUUUUUCUCUUAAACAAACUGUGGUAAACAUAUGCCACACAAGCUGUUACACAUUUCAGCACAUCUGUCUGUUUGAUUUCCUAUAUUACACAUAAUUUAGCACAUCAGUGAUAUAUUUUCAGUCAGUGUGAAUGGAAAGGACAUUUACCAAUCAUAGCUCUGUCCAGAUCUUGUGGGUUCUUCCUGUUGGGGUCAUUAAGUUGCUUCAAAACAAAGUCCAGAACACUGGCAUUAGGACAAUUCUAUCAUUCUGAUGGCACCCAUUCACUGUAGAGGAUCCAUUAGAUCUAAAUGUCUUCAAAUCUGUUCUGAUGAAGAAACAAACUCAUUUACAUCUUGGAAGGCCUGACGGUGAGUACAUUUGCAACAAAUUUUCAUUUUUGGGUGAAAUGUUCCUUUCAGGAAAACAAGAUACAAUGCAGUUUGCAUCUGAUACCAAAAAAAGUGAAGUUUCACUGUUUGUACUUUGCAUUUUAGUUAAUGAUUUCCUGUCAGUUAACGACGCCUGAAUGUUUCUGAGGGUACCUGGCUUCAGCGAGAGCUACAGCCACACACAUUGCUGCCUUCAUUCUGACCAGCAUCAUAACCUGUGGAAGUAGAAGAUUCCAUGUUCCUUCCACUGGCCUUCAAGAGUGAUCUCAGGCCCUCAGAUGUGACAUUUCAGUAAACAGAAACUCAAAAAUAGUGUGACUUCACACCACUUAUGGCACCAGUCGCCCUGUCCUCCUGGGUGCAGGCCAUCUGUGACAUCAAGACCAAAAACAGACUGUCAUAACCUGAUUCAUGAGAUGCCUCAGCUUUCAGAACACACAAAUGAUUCACGAGAAAAAAAAAAAGUUUCGAUGCAUAUUAAAAUUGUACCCGUUUCA